ACGUACACUCCUGCGGGAGGCAGCAGUGGGGAAUAUUGCACAAUGGGCGCAAGCCUGAUGCAGCCAUGCCGCGUGUAUGAAGAAGGCCUUCGGGUUGUAAAGUACUUUCAGCGGGGAGGAAGGCGAUAAGGUUAAUAACCUUGUUGAUUGACGUUACCCGCAGAAGAAGCACCGGCUAACUCCGUGCCAGCAGCCGCGGUAAUACGGAGGGUGCAAGCGUUAAUCGGAAUUACUGGGCGUAAAGCGCACGCAGGCGGUCUGUCAAGUCGGAUGUGAAAUCCCCGGGCUCAACCUGGGAACUGCAUUCGAAACUGGCAGGCUAGAGUCUUGUAGAGGGGGGUAGAAUUCCAGGUGUAGCGGUGAAAUGCGUAGAGAUCUGGAGGAAUACCGGUGGCGAAGGCGGCCCCCUGGACAAAGACUGACGCUCAGGUGCGAAAGCGUGGGGAGCAAACAGGAUUAGAAACCCGGGUAGUCCCAU
Molecule: ribosomal RNA, 478 nt
Filed under: uncultured organism
Description: partial 16S ribosomal RNA
Rfam family: Bacterial small subunit ribosomal RNA
Source: RNAcentral